AUGCCCUCUAACUAGAGCGACCUCUGGUGUCCAACUCAUCGACUUGGUUUCUAGCUCACGUCAGGAAAUUGGUGGAGAAAUUAGUUGAGGAACAAGGUCAAUAGGUUUAAAAUCGGUUACUUGGGUCACGAAAUUGGUAAGUACCAAAUUAUCUUUUAACUAUUGAGAUGAUUUCACUAUUUUGAUAUAAAAAGUUUCCAAAAUACGGAGCACUGGGAUGCAAUCAAGGAAUCGAUACAAGUAGAAUGUGCAAGCCGUUUCAAGGACAAAAAGUCAGGAAUGAAAAAACAUUUUGAUAGGCAUGGAGGUUAUAAAGAUGUUGAAGAGGCAAAGAGACACCCCCCUCCCCCGAGUCAAUGGAUCCAGAAGCAUGGUGUAAGCUCAUUGAUGGGUUGUUCACAACUCCCGAGUAUAUGAAUCGUUCUGAAAAAAAUAAGGCAAACAGAGCAAAACAACUUUAUGGAAGUUAUCACGGGAGUCAAUCUCUUGCCAAUAGGCGACACAAAGAGGUUAAAGAAACCGGGUGAGCCCGCUAUGUUGAAGGUUGGAAAGAAAUGCAUUGUAAGAAAGGCAAAUGGAUUAACGACAAUGCAAAACAUGCUUGGGAAAACAUUGAAGAAGAGUAUAAUAGAUCAUUGUCGUGCUCGGGUGGGGAUGAAAUGGCGGUUGAUCAAGUUGGGUGUCUUAAAAAAGCU
This 695-nucleotide long non-coding RNA is filed under the name Helianthus annuus (common sunflower). Lineage: Eukaryota; Viridiplantae; Streptophyta; Magnoliopsida; Asterales; Asteraceae. The record is from RNAcentral.